RNAcentral lists this unclassified non-coding RNA (586 nucleotides) under Pentapogon crinitus. RNAcentral describes it as "Dichelachne crinita sequence contains ITS1, 5.8S rRNA gene, ITS2". Lineage: Eukaryota; Viridiplantae; Streptophyta; Magnoliopsida; Poales; Poaceae. The record is from RNAcentral.
UCGUGACCCUGACCAAAACAGACCGCGCACCCGUCAUCCAGCCUGCCGGCGGCGGCACCGUUCGUCGCUCGGCCAAGUCCUCGAUWACCUCCUCUUCUCGGAGUGGGGGCUCGGGGUAAAAGAACCCACGRCGCCUAAGGCGUCAAGGAACACUGUGCCWAGCCCGGGGACGCGGACGGCUUGCUGGCUGCCCCCCGUGCUGCAAUGCUAUUUAAUCCACACGACUCUCGGCAACGGAUAUCUCGGCUCUCGCAUCGAUGAAGAACGUAGCGAAAUGCGAUACCUGGUGUGAAUUGCAGAAUCCCGCGAACCAUCGAGUCUUUGAACGCAAGUUGCGCCCGAGGCCAUUCGGCCGAGGGCACGCCUGCCUGGGCGUCACGCAAAACACGCUCCCACCCCCUCAUCAGGGAGCGGGACGCGGCAUGUGGCCCCCCGUCGCGCAAGGGRCGGUGGGCCGAAGAUAUGGCUGCCGGCGUAUCGUGCUGGACACAGCGUGUGGUGGGCGACCUCGCUUUACUUCCGCAGUGCAUCUGGCGCGUAGCCGACGUGAUGGCCUCGAAGGACCCUAUGAACGGUGCGCACGACG